GCCGGGCGUGGUGGCUCACGCCUGUAGUCCCAGCUACUCGGGAGGCUGAGGCAGGAGAAUCGCUUGAACCCGGGAGACAGAGGUUGCAGUGAGCUGAGAUUAUGCCACUGCACUCCAGCCUGGGCAACAGAGUGAGACUCAGUCUCAA
This 148-nucleotide non-coding RNA is filed under the name Homo sapiens (human). The record is from Rfam by way of RNAcentral. Lineage: Eukaryota; Metazoa; Chordata; Mammalia; Primates; Hominidae.